GCGGUAGGAAGUCGUCAAGAACACAGUAUUAUUUUAUUUAGGGGGUUCACUCUAUACACGCAAAUUUCAUUAGUCUUCACUUCAAGGUUAAUCGACAAAAUUUGAGCAAAUUUUAUUAAAUAAUGCUUUUUACAGUUUUUUUUUUUACUUUACUACGGGCUCAUAGCAUCUUAAAUCUGAUCUUAUUGCUGUGUUCACAAUUAUAUUCUACGUAUUUCACCUGUAUCGGUUUGGACAAUUCC
This 242-nucleotide long non-coding RNA is filed under the name Mytilus galloprovincialis (Mediterranean mussel). The record is from RNAcentral. Lineage: Eukaryota; Metazoa; Mollusca; Bivalvia; Mytilida; Mytilidae.